GAUCGGGAAUGGUGUGAAUGAAUGGUGUACGACAUUUAAAACUAUGCAAAAUAUUGAUAAGAACUCAUUUUUAAGAUUAUACAUUAAUUUACAAUAUUGUGUUCAAAAUUCGUUUUUUAAAAUAAAUAAAUAAUUUUGUAGUCGCACGCUUUCUUUGAAAUUAAAUUGCAUUAUGGUGUAAUGUGUAAGGUGUAUGGUGCAAAGGUGUAACGUGUAUGGUGUAAUGGCACUGGGUGCAUGGUGUAAU
RNAcentral lists this long non-coding RNA (247 nucleotides) under Mytilus galloprovincialis (Mediterranean mussel). Lineage: Eukaryota; Metazoa; Mollusca; Bivalvia; Mytilida; Mytilidae. The record is from RNAcentral.